RNAcentral lists this ribosomal RNA (634 nucleotides) under Sarcocystis cruzi. RNAcentral's name for it is "SSU rRNA". It matches the Rfam family "Eukaryotic small subunit ribosomal RNA", at positions 455 to 1077 of the family's 1831-position model. Lineage: Eukaryota; Apicomplexa; Conoidasida; Eucoccidiorida; Sarcocystidae. RNAcentral also lists the same sequence under 1 other name. The record is from RNAcentral.
CUCAGGGAGGUAGUGACAAGAAAUAACAACACUGGAAAUUUUAUUUCUAGUGAUUGGAAUGAUGGGAAUUUAAACCCCUUUCAGAGUAACAAUUGGAGGGCAAGUCUGGUGCCAGCAGCCGCGGUAAUUCCAGCUCCAAUAGCGUAUAUUAAAGUUGUUGCAGUUAAAAAGCUCGUAGUUGGAUGUCUGCUGGAAGCAAUCAGUCCGCCCUAUUUGUAGGGUGUGCACUUGAUGAAUUCUGGCAUCUAUGUCCCAAUAAUGUGGUGGUGUAUACCCUGUGUAUUACCCAUCUAUAUUGGGAUAAUACCGUUACUUUGAGAAAAUUAGAGUGUUUGAAGCAGGCUAAUUGCCUUGAAUACUGCAGCAUGGAAUAACAAUAUAGGAUUUCGGUUCUAUUUUGUUGGUUUCUAGGACUGAAAUAAUGAUUAAUAGGGACAGUUGGGGGCAUUCGUAUUUAACUGUCAGAGGUGAAAUUCUUAGAUUUGUUAAAGACGAACUACUGCGAAAGCAUUUGCCAAAGAUGUUUUCAUUAAUCAAGAACGAAAGUUAGGGGCUCGAAGACGAUCAGAUACCGUCGUAGUCUUAACCAUAAACUAUGCCGACUAGAGAUAGGAAAAUGUCAUUUUUCUGACUU